This 465-nucleotide ribosomal RNA is filed under the name Vreelandella stevensii. RNAcentral describes it as "partial 16S ribosomal RNA". It matches the Rfam family "Bacterial small subunit ribosomal RNA", at positions 338 to 795 of the family's 1533-position model. The record is from RNAcentral. Lineage: Bacteria; Pseudomonadati; Pseudomonadota; Gammaproteobacteria; Oceanospirillales; Halomonadaceae.
CCUACGGGGGGCAGCAGUGGGGAAUAUUGGACAAUGGGGGCAACCCUGAUCCAGCCAUGCCGCGUGUGUGAAGAAGGCCCUCGGGUUGUAAAGCACUUUCAGUGAGGAAGAACGCCUGGUGGUUAAUACCCAUCAGGAAAGACAUCACUCACAGAAGAAGCACCGGCUAACUCCGUGCCAGCAGCCGCGGUAAUACGGAGGGUGCGAGCGUUAAUCGGAAUUACUGGGCGUAAAGCGCGCGUAGGUGGCUUGAUAAGCCGGUUGUGAAAGCCCCGGGCUCAACCUGGGAACGGCAUCCGGAACUGUCAAGCUAGAGUGCAGGAGAGGAGGGUAGAAUUCCCGGUGUAGCGGUGAAAUGCGUAGAGAUCGGGAGGAAUACCAGUGGCGAAGGCGGCCUUCUGGACGGACACUGACGCUGAGGUGCGAAAGCGUGGGUAGCAAACAGGAUUAGAUACCCGGGUAGUC